AAGCCUAGCGAUAUGUAAGUUAGUGGCGGACGGGUGAGUAACGCGUGAGCAAUCUGUCCCAGACAGGGGGAUAACAGAUGGAAACAUCUGCUAAUACCGCAUAAGCCCACGGGUCGGCAUCGACCAGAGGGAAAAGGAGCAAUCCGCUUUGAGAUGGCCUCGCGUCCGAUUAGCUAGUUGGUGAGGUAAUGGCCCACCAAGGCGACGAUCGGUAGCCGGACUGAGAGGUUGAACGGCCACAUUGGGACUGAGACACGGCCCAGACUCC
Molecule: ribosomal RNA, 268 nt
Filed under: uncultured Faecalibacterium sp.
Lineage: Bacteria; Bacillati; Bacillota; Clostridia; Eubacteriales; Oscillospiraceae
Description: partial 16S ribosomal RNA
Rfam family: Bacterial small subunit ribosomal RNA
Source: RNAcentral